Molecule: ribosomal RNA, 405 nt
Filed under: uncultured bacterium
Lineage: Bacteria
Description: partial 16S ribosomal RNA
Rfam family: Bacterial small subunit ribosomal RNA
Source: RNAcentral
GAUGAACGCUGGCGGCGUGCCUAAUACACGCAAGUCGAGCGAAGCGGGGACGGGCGAGUAACACGUGGAUAACCUCCUAUAAGACUGGGAUAACUUCGGGAAACCGGAGCUAAACCGGAUACUUAUAGAUGGAUUUGCCCUGCAUUAGCUAGUUGGUAAGGUAACUGUUUACCAAGGCAACGAUGCAUAGCCGACCUGAGAGGGUGGUAGGACACGCUGUAACUGAAGCGCGAUCCAGACUCCUAGAAGAGGAAUGAGUAGGAAAUCUUCCGAAAUAGGCGAGAGCCUUACGGAGAAACGCCACGUGAGUGAUGAAGGUCUUCGGAUCGUAAAACUCUUUUAUUAGGAAAACGGUACCUAAUCAGAAGGCCACGGCUAACUACGUGCCGGCAGCCGCGGUAAUAC